GAGGAUAUAGCUCAGUGGUAGAGUGUGUGCUUAGCAUGCAUGAGGUCCUGGGUUCAAUCCCUGGUACCUCCA
Molecule: transfer RNA, 72 nt
Filed under: Camelus bactrianus (Bactrian camel)
Lineage: Eukaryota; Metazoa; Chordata; Mammalia; Artiodactyla; Camelidae
Also listed under: 2 other names
Rfam family: tRNA
About the family: Transfer RNA (tRNA) molecules are approximately 80 nucleotides in length. Their secondary structure includes four short double-helical elements and three loops (D, anti-codon, and T loops).
Source: Rfam by way of RNAcentral